Neltuma alba is the source of this 574-nucleotide long non-coding RNA. RefSeq lists it as uncharacterized. Lineage: Eukaryota; Viridiplantae; Streptophyta; Magnoliopsida; Fabales; Fabaceae. The transcript is spliced from 2 exons. The record is from RefSeq and is a predicted model, not a curated record.
AGGUAUAUGUCACCAAAGAUGGGCAGGAGUUGACAGGCCGAGCUGCUUAUAGGCAUUAUCGGAGGGAAAGUGGAUCAGGAUUCAAAAAAUCAAAGAAGGGAACCAGUGCCAAGAAGAAAACGAACUGAAUCUUAGUGUAAAGCCGUUGGUUCCUGUCUGUCUUUCCCACAUCAUGCACAUUAGUCAUAGAUCUCAUGGCAAGAUUUUGGUUCAAUUACCACCGGCUUCUUUUUAUGUGUUGAGGAAAUUGGCAAACAGCUAGUUAACACGCGCGGAAUCUGAUUCGGGGCUCUUGUUGCAUGGUGAAUUGACCGAGAUAAAAUUCACACAAACAAUUCCCUGUCAUCUAGGGCCAUUUGAUGUCGACCGAAUUCCCUAUGCCGAGUUCUUCUAGAGCUACCCAAGUGGUUCUGUAGAUUCUAGAGUUGUGGUCCUACUGGUCAACAGUGCCCAACAAAGAUGGACCAAGGCCCUAGAUUGUCUGAAAUUUCUUCUCAUGCAUGUAUAUUUCCAGAUGUGGACGUCUGGGAUGUUGAAUUUUCCUGAUAAUCAUGAAUGUUCUUUGCAGUUUCAA